Molecule: ribosomal RNA, 526 nt
Filed under: bacterium 'H. scabra 99 (SW)'
Lineage: Bacteria
Description: bacterial SSU rRNA
Rfam family: Bacterial small subunit ribosomal RNA
Source: RNAcentral
GAAAUAUUGCACAAUGGGCGCAAGCCUGAUGCAGCCAUGCCGCGUGUAUGAAGAAGGCCUUCGGGUUGUAAAGUACUUUCAGCAGUGAGGAAGGCGGAGUCGUUAAUAGCGGCCUCGUUUGACGUUAGCUGCAGAAGAAGCACCGGCUAACUCCGUGCCAGCAGCCGCGGUAAUACGGAGGGUGCGAGCGUUAAUCGGAAUUACUGGGCGUAAAGCGCAUGCAGGUGGUUUGUUAAGUCAGAUGUGAAAGCCCGGGGCUCAACCUCGGAAUUGCAUUUGAAACUGGCAGACUAGAGUACUGUAGAGGGGGGUAGAAUUUCAGGUGUAGCGGUGAAAUGCGUAGAGAUCUGAAGGAAUACCGGUGGCGAAGGCGGCCCCCUGGACAGAUACUGACACUCAGAUGCGAAAGCGUGGGGAGCAAACAGGAUUAGAUACCCUGGUAGUCCACGCCGUAAACGAUGUCUACUUGGAGGUUGUGGCCUUGAGCCGUGGCUUUCGGAGCUAACGCGUUAAGUAGACCGCCUGG